Molecule: long non-coding RNA, 1065 nt
Organism: Cydia fagiglandana
Lineage: Eukaryota; Metazoa; Arthropoda; Insecta; Lepidoptera; Tortricidae
Exons: 2
Source: RefSeq, a predicted model, not a curated record
CACAGUAAAUAUUUCACAACUUUCCUGGUACAUGAAAUUUCACAAGAUUCCUUUAGCAAGUUUAUACCCAGGGCGCCAGUGAAACGUGCUAUUUUAUAGGGGUUAAAUAAUAUUGCAAAGCUCCGGCUUGUUCAAAGAAAGCUAUAGCACGUUAGCACAAAAAAAUGAAAUUAAAUCUUAAUAAAAAAUGUGGUGUCUAAAUUGCUUGCUAUAGGAACCUAUUUUGGGAGAUGAAAAAGCUGGCGCUGAUGCCCUACUAAAUUAAAUCAUGGAAAGGACCGACCUCAGAAUUUAAACGUUCCUCAGAUGCAGCGGGGUGACAGGCUGCUUUCCCCGGUGAAGCUAGAUGCUGAGCGGAGACGUAGAGCUCAGGGGCCGCGCACGUGGUACCAAAAUGACGUGGCAGAGGUAGAUGGCGUGUUUAAAUUCUUCGCUCCAGGAGGUCUCCAAAACUAAAUUGACUUCUAGGAUUUUUGAAGCUUUUGAGAUAAAUUACUCAACGAAUGAAAUAAAUGAAUGAAUAAAUCAGUAAAUAAAUCCCGGCUCCUGAAAACCGAGAAAAGGUUGUAUUAGCCUUCGCCCUUUAUGGCCUCUAGAAAAGAGAUGAAACCAUUGGAAAUUUGGCUCACCGCACUGGUAGCUGCUAAGCCUUCUGGCGGAGCGCUCCCUUCCCUCGAGCAGGAGUCUCUCUGCAAAGAACCAAAAUUUGGUUAAGAACAAACCCACAACGUCUCGCGCCAUUGUGGAGUUGAUCACCACGAAAUUUAAUUUCUACUCACUCAGUGGAGCUUCCGAAGGACUCAAGCCGUUUCCAUCUUUCAGACCACCAUGCCGAAAGUGUGGCCUUCCCACAAAUUGGGCUCUUGCGAGCGAGUGUCCCCAGAGGGGGUCCCGAAUCAAAUGUGCAUAUCAUUCUCGAAUGAUCUCCAAUAUGGAGUCCCUGAGAGCCCUAACAAAAGGUAAUAGGGUGGCAGUCCCUUGAAGACACAAAUCCCACGAAAAUUCUGUCUGAAUUAUUUAGACAAUAUCACUCCUGAGCCUAAGAAAUAUAUUUUUACCAUUUAA